UGGGGAAUUUUGGACAAUGGGCGCAAGCCUGAUCCAGCCAUGCCGCGUGCGGGAAGAAGGCCUUCGGGUUGUAAACCGCUUUUGUCAGGGAAGAAAUCUUCUGAGUUAAUACCUCGGGAGGAUGACGGUACCUGAAGAAUAAGCACCGGCUAACUACGUGCCAGCAGCCGCGGUAAUACGUAGGGUGCAAGCGUUAAUCGGAAUUACUGGGCGUAAAGCGUGCGCAGGCGGUUUUGUAAGACAGAGGUGAAAUCCCCGGGCUCAACCUGGGAACUGCCUUUGUGACUGCAAGGCUUGAGUGCGGCAGAGGGGGAUGGAAUUCCGCGUGUAGCAGUGAGAUGCGUAGAUAUGCGGAGGAACACCGAUGGCGAAGGCAAUCCCCUGGGCCUGCACUGACGCUCAUGCACGAAAGCGUGGGGAGCAAACAGGAUUAGAUACCCUGGUAGUCCACGCCCUAAACGAUGUCAACUGGUUGUUGGGAAGGUUCCUUCUCAGUAACGUAGCUAACGCGUGAAGUUGACCGCCUGGGGAGUACGGCCGCAAGGUUGAAACUCAAAUGAAUUGACGGGGG
This 571-nucleotide ribosomal RNA is filed under the name uncultured bacterium. RNAcentral describes it as "partial 16S ribosomal RNA". It matches the Rfam family "Bacterial small subunit ribosomal RNA", at positions 355 to 919 of the family's 1533-position model. The record is from RNAcentral.